GACGAACGCUGGCGGCGUGCUUAACACAUGCAAGUCGAACGGAAAGGCCCUGCUUGCAGGGUACUCGAGUGGCGAACGGGUGAGUAACACGUGGGUGAUCUGCCCUGCACUUCGGGAUAAGCCUGGGAAACUGGGUCUAAUACCGGAUAGGAGCCAUUUUUAGUGUGAUGGUUGGAAAGUUUUUUCGGUGUAGGAUGAGCUCGCGGCCUAUCAGCUUGUUGGUGGGGUAAUGGCCUACCAAGGCGGCGACGGGUAGCCGGCCUGCGUGGGUGGACGGCCACAUUGGGACUGAGAUACGGCCCAGACUCCUACGGGAGGCAGCAGUGGGGAAUAUUGCACAAUGGGCGCAAGCCUGAUGCAGCGACGCCGCGUGGGGGAUGACGGCCUUCGGGUUGUAAACUCCAUUCGCUAGGGACGAAGCUUUUUGUGACGGUACCUAGAUAAGAAGCACCGGCUAACUACGUG
This 465-nucleotide ribosomal RNA is filed under the name uncultured bacterium. Its description in RNAcentral is "partial 16S ribosomal RNA". It matches the Rfam family "Bacterial small subunit ribosomal RNA", at positions 28 to 507 of the family's 1533-position model. The record is from RNAcentral.